This 76-nucleotide transfer RNA is filed under the name Bacillus phage vB_BanS_Nate. Its description in RNAcentral is "tRNA-Gly". It matches the Rfam family "tRNA". Rfam says of the family: Transfer RNA (tRNA) molecules are approximately 80 nucleotides in length. Their secondary structure includes four short double-helical elements and three loops (D, anti-codon, and T loops). Further hydrogen bonds mediate the characteristic L-shaped molecular structure. tRNAs have two regions of fundamental functional importance: the anti-codon, which is responsible for specific mRNA codon recognition, and the 3' end, to which the tRNAs corresponding amino acid is attached (by aminoacyl-tRNA synthetases). tRNAs cope with the degeneracy of the genetic code in two manners: having more than one tRNA (with a specific anti-codon) for a particular amino acid; and 'wobble' base-pairing, i.e. permitting non-standard base-pairing at the 3rd anti-codon position. The record is from RNAcentral. Lineage: Duplodnaviria; Heunggongvirae; Uroviricota; Caudoviricetes.
GUGGGAUUGGUCUAGUUGGUCAAGAUACGGGGCUUCCACCCUCGUGACAUCGGUUCGAGUCCGAUAUCUCACAUAU